Molecule: ribosomal RNA, 253 nt
Filed under: uncultured bacterium
Lineage: Bacteria
Description: partial 16S ribosomal RNA
Rfam family: Bacterial small subunit ribosomal RNA
Source: RNAcentral
UACGUAGGUGACAAGCGUUAUCCGGAUUUACUGGGCGUAAAGGGAGCGUAGGCGGAUAAUUAAGUGGGAUGUGAAAUACCCGGGCUCAACCUGGGUGCUGCAUUCCAAACUGAUUAUCUAGAGUGCAGGAGAGGAGAGUGGAAUUCCUAGUGUAGCGGUGAAAUGCGUAGAGAUUAGGAAGAACACCAGUGGCGAAGGCGACUCUCUGGACUGUAACUGACGCUGAGGCUCGAAAGCGUGGGGAGCAAACAGG